AAGAUAGAGUUUGAUCCUGGCUCAGAGCGAACGUUGGCAGUGUGUCUUAAGCAUGCAAGUCGAACGGCAGCAGGCCAUAUAGCAAUAUAUGGUGCUGGCGAGUGGCGAACUGGUGAGUAACACGUAAGAAUCUACCCUCUGGUGGGGGAUAACUCAUGGAAACAUGAGCUAAUACCGCAUGAAGCCGAAAGGUAAAAGGAGAAAUCCGCCAGUGGAUGAGCUUGCGUCCCAUUAGCUAGUUGGCAGGGUAAAGGCCUACCAAGGCUAUGAUGGGUAGCUGGCCUGAGAGGGUGGUCAGCCACACUGGGACUGAGAUACGGCCCAGACUCCUACGGGAGGCAGCAGCUAAGAAUCUUCCUCAAUGGGGGAAACCCUGAAGGAGCGACACUGCGUGCAGGAUGAAGGCCCUUUGGGUUGUAAACUGCUUUUGUAGGGGAGAAAUAACCGCAAGGGAUGAUAGUACCCUACGAAUAAGUCCCGGCUAACUACGUGCCAGCAGCCGCGGUAAAACGUAAGGGGCGAACGUUGCUCGGAAUUACUGGGCGUAAAGGGCCGGUAGGUGGCUUUAUAAGUCAGUUGUCAAAUACCUAUGCUCAACGUAGGAGAGGCGACUGAUACUGUAGAGCUUGAGUAGAGGAAGGGAUGACGGAAUACCCGGUGUAGGGGUGAAAUCUGUUGAUAUCGGGUAGAACACCGAUGGCGAAAGCGGUCAUCUAGCCUCAUACUGACACUCAACGGCGAAAGCCAGGGGAGCGAACGGGAUUAGAUACCCCGGUAGUCCUGGCCAUAAACGAUGCAUGCUANGUAUUGGCACCGCGUUGGUGAUAGUACCGUAGCUUACGCGUUAAGCAUGCCGCCUGGGGAGUAUGCUCGCAAGAGUGAAACUCAAAGGAAUUGAC
This 899-nucleotide ribosomal RNA is filed under the name uncultured bacterium. Its description in RNAcentral is "bacterial SSU rRNA". It matches the Rfam family "Bacterial small subunit ribosomal RNA", at positions 1 to 914 of the family's 1533-position model. The record is from RNAcentral.